Bos taurus (domestic cattle) is the source of this 323-nucleotide long non-coding RNA. NCBI's taxonomy places the organism in Eukaryota, Metazoa, Chordata, Mammalia, Artiodactyla, Bovidae. The record is from Ensembl.
GGCGGGGACACUGGCCAGACGCCCCCACCUGGUGCUCAGCCCCGAGUGGGUACUGCCCGCAGACGGCCGUGAGAAGUCACCCGGUCCCAGGGACAGCUGGCCCUUCUGAGGGGCCUCUCGUUUCCAAAGACCUCUUGCAGAUGGCAAAUGAUGGACUUCACAGCCUCUGAGAAUUCAAGGGAGCUAAUUCCUGUAAUUGUUGUUUAAUCACUAAGUUGUGAUUCUUUUGUGACCCUGUGGACUGGAGCCUGCCAGGAUCCUCUGUCCAUGGAAUUCUCCAGGACUGUAGAAGAGCUGGGUCAGGAGGAUGCGGGCUUCCCAGG